UACGGGGGGAGCAAGCGUUGUUCGGAUUUACUGGGCGUAAAGGGCGCGUAGGCGGCCAGCACAAGUCAGUUGUGAAAUCUCCGAGCUUAACUCGGAAAGGUCAACUGAUACUGUGCGGCUAGAGUGCGGAAGGGGCAACUGGAAUUCUUGGUGUAGCGGUGAAAUGCGUAGAUAUCAAGAGGAACACCUGCGGCGAAGGCGGGUUGCUGGGCCGACACUGACGCUGAGGCGCGAAAGCCAGGGUAGCGAACCGG
RNAcentral lists this ribosomal RNA (254 nucleotides) under uncultured bacterium. RNAcentral describes it as "partial 16S ribosomal RNA". It matches the Rfam family "Bacterial small subunit ribosomal RNA", at positions 524 to 776 of the family's 1533-position model. The record is from RNAcentral.